Molecule: ribosomal RNA, 465 nt
Filed under: Methanoculleus sp. enrichment culture clone CIBANICRA-46
Lineage: Archaea; Methanobacteriati; Methanobacteriota; Methanomicrobia; Methanomicrobiales; Methanomicrobiaceae
Description: bacterial SSU rRNA
Rfam family: Archaeal small subunit ribosomal RNA
Source: RNAcentral
GUUGAACGAAUCCAGGCCCUACGGGGCGCAGCAGGCGCGAAAACUUUACAAUGCGGGCAACAGUGAUAAGGGAACCUCGAGUGCCUGUAUAUGCAGGCUGUCCAGGUGUCUAAAACACACCUGAAGAAAGGGCCGGGCAAGACCGGUGCCAGCCGCCGCGGUAAUACCGGCGGCUCGAGUGGUGGCCGCUUUUAUUGGGCUUAAAGCGUUCGUAGCUGGGUCGUUAAGUCUCUUGGGAAAUCCGGCAGCUCAACUGUCGGGCGUCUAAGAGAUACUGGCGAUCUUGGAACCGGGAGAGGUGAGGGGUACUUCGGGGGUAGGAGUGAAAUCCUGUAAUCCUCGAGGGACCACCUGUGGCGAAGGCGCCUCACCAGAACGGCUUCGACAGUGAGGGACGAAAGCUGGGGGAGCAAACCGGAUUAGAUACCCGGGUAGUCCCAGCCGUAAACAAUGCGCGUUAGGUGA